UAGGGAAUCUUCCGCAAUGGACGCAAGUCUGACGGAGCAACGCCGCGUGAGUGAAGAAGGAUUUCGGUUCGUAAAACUCUGUUGUUAGAGAAGAACAGCGCAUAGAGUAACUGUUAUGCGUGUGACGGUAUCUAACCAGAAAGCCACGGCUAACUACGUGCCAGCAGCCGCGGUAAUACGUAGGUGGCAAGCGUUGUACGGAUUUAUUGGGCGUAAAGCGAGCGCAGGCGGUCAAUUAAGUCUGAUGUGAAAGCCCCCGGCUCAACCGGGGAGGGUCGUUGGAAACUGGUUGACUUGAGUGCAGAAGAGGAGAGUGGAAUUCCAUGUGUAGCGGUGAAAUGCGUAGAUAUAUGGAGGAACACCAGUGGCGAAGGCGACUCUCUGGUCUGUAACUGACGCUGAGGCUCGAAAGCGUGGGUAGCAAACAGG
RNAcentral lists this ribosomal RNA (429 nucleotides) under Bacteroidota bacterium. RNAcentral describes it as "Bacteroidetes bacterium partial 16S ribosomal RNA". It matches the Rfam family "Bacterial small subunit ribosomal RNA", at positions 355 to 776 of the family's 1533-position model. The record is from RNAcentral. Lineage: Bacteria; Pseudomonadati; Bacteroidota.